This 2754-nucleotide long non-coding RNA is filed under the name Homo sapiens (human). RNAcentral's name for it is "HSALNT0292243". Lineage: Eukaryota; Metazoa; Chordata; Mammalia; Primates; Hominidae. The record is from RNAcentral.
AGACCCAAGGCAACUCAGCUGUGAUUGAGAUAGACAUUGAGUCUUUUGGGAGACAGAAGGGAGGGAGAGUGCCAGUCAAAAGGGUUUCGUGAAGAAGGUUGCAUCUGACUGGGACAGUUAGGCCUCUGUGUACCACUUUAAAAGGAGUUAGGAGCUAUCAUCGCCCUCGUUUCGUGAAGGGCUGACCAGCGACUGAUCAUGGCUACGAUGUAAAGGUGCAGACAUUUUGACCUCCCAUGGGAUAAUUUAGAUGGGCCACAUGGGCUCCAGGGAUGGCUGAAACUCCGUUGGAGCUGCGUCACUGUUCACCUUCUCUCUACCAAAUCCUGCUUCCUCCCUAUCUCUUCCCCAGGUGUUGACUUUUCUAGUAAAUAUCCUCCAUGUCAAAGUCUAUCUCAAGAUCUGUUCCAGGACAACCCCGCCUGCAACAGGGCCCAUUUAUGUUCCAGCCAGCACGGUGAUCCUGAGUCUGGGAGGGUGCCCACAGACUGCUUUUGUGAGCAGCAUGCCUUCAGUGGCCAGUCCCCAAGCCCCUCAACUCCAUGUGGAGCAAGGACCAACCACCCCAUGGAGAAGAGGAACCCGCCUGCAAGGCGAGCCAAGAAGGGACCUUUGGAACCAGCCACACUGGACUCUGUAGGGGGCUGGAUGGCUGGCCCCAAAAGGAUAGGUCCAUGUCCUAAGCCCCAGAACCCGUAAAUAUUGCCUUAUUUGGAAAGAAAUUCUUUGUAGAUGUCAUUAGGGAUUUUGAGAUGAAGAGAUCAUCCUGUAUUAUGCAAGUGGGCCCUCAAUCCAAUGGCAAGUGUCCUUACAAGAGUAAGGCAGGGCUGGGUGUGGUGUCUCACACCUGUCAUCCCAGCACUUUGGGAGGCCAAGGCAGGAGAAUAGCUUGAGGCCAGGAGUUCAAGACUGGCCUGGGCAACGUAGUGAGACCCUCCAUCUCUACAAAAAAAAAAAAAAAAAACAGAAAAAAACCCCACAAAGAACUAGCCAGACGUGGUGGCACAUGCCUAUAGUCCUAGCUACUCAGGAGGCUGAAAUGGGAGGAUGGCUUGAGUCUGGGAGGCAGAGGUUGCAGUGAGCAGUGUUGCGCCACUGCACUACAGCCUGGACAACAGAGCAAGACCCUGUUUCAAAAAGAAAAAAAAGCGGGGGGAGUGAGGCUGAAGGAGAGACACACACCUAGAGAAGAAGGUGAUGUAAAGAUGCAAAAAUAGGGCCAGGCGCAGUGGCUUACGUCUGUAAUCCCAGCACUUUGGGAGGCUGAGGUGGGCGGAUCAUGAGAUCAAGAGAUCAAGACCAUCCUGGUCAACAUGGUGAAACCCCCUCUCUACUAAAAAUACAAAAAUUAUCUGGGUGUGGUGGCGGGCGCCUGUAGUCCCAGCUACUCGGGAGGCUGAGGCAGGAGAAUUGGUUGAACCCAGGAGGCAGAGGUUGCAGUGAGCCGAGAUUGCACCACUGCACUCCAGCCUGGGCAACAGAGUGAGACUCUGUCUCAAAAAAAAAAAAAAAAGAAGAAGUAAAAAUGGGAGUGACAUGGUUACAGCCAAGGAAGCCGAAGAGGCAAGAUGGGAGCCUCCCUCAGAGACUCCAGAGGCAGCACGGCCCUGCCAAUGCCUUGUUUCUGCUUCAGGCCUCCAACGCUGGGAGAAUAGAGUUCUGCCGCUUUUGAAGCCACUCUGUGAGAAUUCCAUACAGCAGUCACAGGAAACUAAGAUAGCUCCCACACCCAGUUUCCACUUCACAACCUUGAGAAGCUGGGGAAGCCGUUCUGGAGGUGCCAGGGACUGGGCACCGAGCCAGCCUGGGCUGGGGUCAGAGGCAAGAGGAGAGCUCUCUAGAGGAAGCCUUUAUCUUGGAGUUUGUUCUUGAGUAGGAAGUGUUCACGGGGCAGGUGGUGGUGGUGGGGCGGCGUGUGCAUAAUUUUCAACAGCCCAGAGAACUGAAUAUCAUGGGGCUGUCUAGAAAUUUUGACUUGCAGAUAUGGCAGGAAUGGGAGGUACCUAGAAGGGAGAGAAGGGAGACAUAACUCAACAGGAGGCCAGGGCCCGGUCGCAGAGGCCACUGCGUGCCUGUGGGAGGCUUGCUCUUGAUGUGAGAUUUUUCUUCUAACUUUGUAUUUUAGAACAGAUUUAAAGUUUCAGAAACGAAUUCCAAGUUUGUAUAGAGUUUAUGUAUACUGUUUCCCCUAAUAUUAGCAUCUUACCUGAGUGUGGGUAUAUUUGUUACAAUUAUUGAACCUAUGUCAGUCCAUGAACUGAACCUAUGUCAGUCAUGAACUGAAGUCCAUAGAUGAUUCAGAUUUCCUUUGUUUUCCCGAACGUCCUUUUCUGGGCCGGGACCCCAUCUAGGACCCCACAUUGCAUUCAGUCGGUGUGUCUCCCUAGGCUCCUCUUGGUUGUGACAGUUUCUCAGACUUUCCUUGUCUUUGAUGACCUUGACAGUUUUGAGGAGACUGUCCUUCAAUUCGGAUUUGUCCCGCGCUUUUCUCACAGUUAGACUGCGGUUGUGGGUUUUGGGGAGGAAGACCACAGAAGCAAAGGGUGAUUUUUACGCCAUCAUAACAAAGGUGUGCCCUGUCACCAUGACUUACCUCUGUUACCGUUGAGCUCGGUCACCCGGCUGAGGUAGUGAGACUUCUCCACUGUAACCCUCCCUUUCCACACUGCACUCUUUGGAAGAAGGUCACUAUGCACAGCCCACACUUAAGGGUGGAAAGUUAUGCUCCAACUUUUUUUUUUUUUUUUUUUUUUU